UACGGGGGGGGCAAGCGUUGUUCGGAAUUACUGGGCGUAAAGGGCUCGUAGGCGGCCAACUAAGUCAGACGUGAAAUCCCCGGGCUCAACCCGGGAACUGCGUCCGAUACUGGAAGGCUUGAAUCCGGGAGAGGGAUGCGGAAUUCCAGGUGUAGCGGUGAAAUGCGUAGAUAUCUGGAGGAACACCGGUGGCGAAGGCGGCAUCCUGGACCGGUAUUGACGCUGAGGCGCGAAAGCCAGGGGAGCAAACGGG
RNAcentral lists this ribosomal RNA (253 nucleotides) under uncultured bacterium. Its description in RNAcentral is "partial 16S ribosomal RNA". It matches the Rfam family "Bacterial small subunit ribosomal RNA", at positions 524 to 776 of the family's 1533-position model. The record is from RNAcentral.